UAGCCAUGGUACUGACAUCUGAUCCGUGCU
RNAcentral lists this non-coding RNA (30 nucleotides) under Rattus norvegicus (Norway rat). Lineage: Eukaryota; Metazoa; Chordata; Mammalia; Rodentia; Muridae. The record is from RNAcentral.